This 507-nucleotide ribosomal RNA is filed under the name Triticum aestivum (bread wheat). RNAcentral's name for it is "partial small subunit ribosomal RNA". The record is from RNAcentral. Lineage: Eukaryota; Viridiplantae; Streptophyta; Magnoliopsida; Poales; Poaceae.
AUGAGAUUUAAUAGAAAUGCUACUGCUCUCCGCCCUGGGAUUUUCGCCAUACGAUUUGUGCUCAAAGCAAUGACAAAUCCUCACGAAGAAGCUAAAACGCAGCAAAAUACUGACGAAGACCCUGCUGAAGAGCAUGCAAUCCAGCAAGCUCCUGUCAAAGAACAUGAAGACUGUGAUAUUCAAAGCGCAGAAACAGGCAGCAUGUCUCCUCAUUCAUCAGAAAAGGACACGGAACAAAACAUGAGGAACAAACCACCUGCGGAAGAAAUGAUAACUUACACCAGGCUCAACAGGAAUAAACAUCUAGCAACAAGCAAAAAAAAGAGGAAAUCAGAUACAAGCACUGUUUUUACUCCUGGAGCAAAAAGGCAAAAGCAAAAGGACAAUGCUGAAAACAUCAUCGACACUAGUACAUUGCAGCAUCAGCCAUUACCUCUAAUGGUACUCCCGCCAAAAGCACCAACCGCCACGAAGAAACAAGGUGAACGCAAGAAGAAAAACAAAUGA